Mustela putorius furo (domestic ferret) is the source of this 107-nucleotide small nuclear RNA. The record is from Ensembl. NCBI's taxonomy places the organism in Eukaryota, Metazoa, Chordata, Mammalia, Carnivora, Mustelidae.
GUGCUCACUUAGACAGCAUAUAUGCUAAAAGUGGAACAAUACGGAGAAGAACAGCAUGGUCACUGCACAAGGAUGACACGCAAACUCGUGAAGCGUUCCAUAUGUAA